UGGAGGCAGCAGUAAGGAAUUUUGCGCAAUGGGGGAAACCCUGAGGCAGCGACGCCGCGUGGAGGAUGAAGUAUCUCGGUAUGUAAACUCCUGUCAGUGGGGAUGAUGAUGACAGUACCCACAGAGGAAGCACCGGCUAACUCCGUGCCAGCAGCCGCGGUAAGACGGAGGGUGCAAGCGUUGUUCGGAAUUACUGGGCGUAAAGCGUACGUAGGCGGUAGAUUAAGUCGAAUGUUAAAGCCUGAGGCUCAACCUCAGGGAUGCAUUCGAUACUGGUUUACUAGAGGGUGAUAGAGGAAAGCGGAAUUCCGAGUGUAGCGGUGAAAUGCGUAGAUAUUCGGAGGAACAUCAGUAGCGAAGGCGGCUUUCUGGGUCACACCUGACGCUGAGGUACGAAAGCGUGGGGAGCAAACGGGAUUAGAAACCCGAGUAGUCCC
This 437-nucleotide ribosomal RNA is filed under the name uncultured bacterium. Its description in RNAcentral is "bacterial SSU rRNA". It matches the Rfam family "Bacterial small subunit ribosomal RNA", at positions 343 to 797 of the family's 1533-position model. The record is from RNAcentral.